This 1065-nucleotide ribosomal RNA is filed under the name Chryseobacterium indologenes. RNAcentral's name for it is "bacterial SSU rRNA". It matches the Rfam family "Bacterial small subunit ribosomal RNA", at positions 185 to 1257 of the family's 1533-position model. The record is from RNAcentral. Lineage: Bacteria; Pseudomonadati; Bacteroidota; Flavobacteriia; Flavobacteriales; Weeksellaceae.
AUGGCAUCAUUCGACAUUGAAAACUCCGGUGGAUAGAGAUGGGCACGCGCAAGAUUAGAUAGUUGGUGAGGUAACGGCUCACCAAGUCUACGAUCUUUAGGGGGCCUGAGAGGGUGAUCCCCCACACUGGUACUGAGACACGGACCAGACUCCUACGGGAGGCAGCAGUGAGGAAUAUUGGACAAUGGGUGAGAGCCUGAUCCAGCCAUCCCGCGUGAAGGACGACUGCCCUAUGGGUUGUAAACUUCUUUUGUAUAGGGAUAAACCUACCCUCGUGAGGGUAGCUGAAGGUACUAUACGAAUAAGCACCGGCUAACUCCGUGCCAGCAGCCGCGGUAAUACGGAGGGUGCAAGCGUUAUCCGGAUUUAUUGGGUUUAAAGGGUCCGUAGGCGGAUCUGUAAGUCAGUGGUGAAAUCUCACAGCUUAACUGUGAAACUGCCAUUGAUACUGCAGGUCUUGAGUGUUGUUGAAGUAGCUGGAAUAAGUAGUGUAGCGGUGAAAUGCAUAGAUAUUACUUAGAACACCAAUUGCGAAGGCAGGUUACUAAGCAACAACUGACGCUGAUGGACGAAAGCGUGGGGAGCGAACAGGAUUAGAUACCCUGGUAGUCCACGCCGUAAACGAUGCUAACUCGUUUUUGGGCUUUCGGGUUCAGAGACUAAGCGAAAGUGAUAAGUUAGCCACCUGGGGAGUACGUUCGCAAGAAUGAAACUCAAAGGAAUUGACGGGGGCCCGCACAAGCGGUGGAUUAUGUGGUUUAAUUCGAUGAUACGCGAGGAACCUUACCAAGGCUUAAAUGGGAAAUGACAGGUUUAGAAAUAGACUUUUCUUCGGACAUUUUUCAAGGUGCUGCAUGGUUGUCGUCAGCUCGUGCCGUGAGGUGUUAGGUUAAGUCCUGCAACGAGCGCAACCCCUGUCACUAGUUGCCAUCAUUAAGUUGGGGACUCUAGUGAGACUGCCUACGCAAGUAGAGAGGAAGGUGGGGAUGACGUCAAAUCAUCACGGCCCUUACGCCUUGGGCCACACACGUAAUACAAUGGCCGGUACAGAGGGCAGCUACACAG